Non-coding RNA from Electrophorus electricus (electric eel), 2027 nucleotides. Lineage: Eukaryota; Metazoa; Chordata; Actinopteri; Gymnotiformes; Gymnotidae. The record is from RefSeq and is a predicted model, not a curated record.
CCGAGGAUAUUUCACAAAGGCAUCAUUGGGAGAGCGGUACUGGCACGUGUACUGCCUGUAGAGCGCGAGCACAAAGGAAGCGAAGUGUCAGUGGAAGUCAUGGAAGAGGAUAACAAUUCAAGAAAUAUUGUCACGAGGAUGCUGUCAUGAGAAUAAAAAAUCAGGAAAGAAAUGUCGAUAACAAAAUCAAUGAGACAGUUAAUGCUGGUCCAUACUUUAUAUGAUGCUAAGUACUGAUAAGCUUACCUACAGCAAACAAUCCUUUACAUUGUUAAGGAAAAUCUUCAAAGUAAUAUUCAUUGGAUUAUUUACCACAGUGAUGGACAAUGAACCAUAUCCUGCUGUCUCUGUCCAGGUCAGGCAGCUAGUAAAGCCUUUCCCAGAACAGGCCCCUUAAGACAAGACUCUUUCUGUUAGGAAUUUCCAUGGAAACCAAGCAACUAACUUGAGGAGGGACAUAAAAACCUGCUCUGUGGAGAAAGGAGGAACACCUGCCACCUCUGCAAAUGGACGCUCAAGAACACACUGUACUUGCUGCAAGUGCCAACAAAGAGUCUGCCCACAACCAGAGCAGAGCAGAGGGUUCUGAAAAGCAACACAAGGUCUUGUGCUCUGUUCAUUAACAGUAUUAAUGAUUAACUGAGGUGCAAUUGUCUCAGGCCAGCUGUCUGCUGUUUAUCCAACUCUGAACCCUUCAUGUUCCAUGGCUCGCACAGAGCUCCCUUUUAAUACACUCAACUGACAGCUGCCUCUCACAUUCAAGUGAACUACUGCAUCCUUCAUUUACUGUGCUUUGGGAAUUAGUGCAGAGGAGUUCAUGGGGGUCACUAUAAUACUAUCCAAAAGAAUAGUUCUGUACUUCAUGAUGAAUAUUUCAACCCCUUCAUUGCAGGAAUAUUUAUUAGUACUUCUCAUUGUUUGGGAUGCAGUUUUUUUUUUCAGCUUUCUGGUUUCCUUGACACUGUGGCAGCUAGUGUCUGUUCUGAAGUUGCUAAGCAGGAAAUGUGAUGGUGUCAUUUUUUAAUAACUUGCGAUAUAUCUGACUUCAUUGCCUGGCAACCCAUUUUGUUAUUGCUUGUUUUGGUUCAGCUCAUUGUUUCACUUACCUUGUCAUGUUCCACCCUCAUUGACCAUAAUGUGAAACUUUGUGUGCUUAAUGUCUUUCAAUCACACUUCCUUAAUAUUGCAGCCACUAAUCUAUAUCUAAAUCUUGUUUUGCUGUAGCUCCUAAGGGAAUUAAGGGGCCAUUUUAUCUUUACAAGACAAGGACUUUGAUUUAGUCUUUUAAAUAGCCGCCACCUUCACUUUGGAUCUGCGCUUUAAUUGGCCAGUCAUCAAGAAACUGUCUCCAGACCAUCUGGAAAUUAUUAUACAGCAAUAGUUCUCAGGCAAGCACUUUCUUUGUAAAAGACUUAGCUGAUCACAGAAAUGAUUGCUCUGAAAUGAUCUCUCCAGUGUUCUACCAGAGAAUUAAAUAAUAUUUGAAAAAUAAGUCUUACUGCUCAUUAGAAGUCAAAAGAAAAGUAAACCCACUUAUGGAGUUAUGGUGCUAUACCUUUUAGCUUGUGGUAGAAAGAAACAGUCUACAUAAAGCAGCAGUAGAAAGUACCAGAUUACAUAAACCAGUUACUAACCAUAACCCUCACCAUAACCUUAGUGAAGUUAGUGUAGCAUUUUGGACAUAUAAAAAGCAAAACUGCUACUUUUGCUUGAGAAAUUAUUUAAAAACAAUAUUGAGCAUUUCCCUGUUCUCCAAACUAUAUUGUAUAGCAGUUGCAUUCUACCAAGGGUUGGGGUUACACCCUCUGCUUACACCCAUACAAUGAUCACUUCCUGUGGAACAUCCCUGACACCUUUGGACUAAAGUCCAGUUUAGUACAUUGCAGAAUUAUGCGCCUAGUGAGUCUUGGAUAUUUUUAUUUCAAAUAAGUUCUCUUUUAAGUAUUUUUUUAUUUGGCAUAGAUUUUCAGUGCUCUUUUCACCACUGUUACUUUGUGUGUGUGUGUGUGUGUGUGUGUGUGUGUGUG